UCUCCGUAGGUGAACCUGCGGAGGGAUCACUCCAGGCUUGCAAAUGAUCUGAAACCACUGUUUAUCUACCUGAAUCUGCUUCGGCGGGCGGGCCCUUGGCGGGGGAGUUGGCCCAAGGCGCCCGCCUAAUACCUCUACACUUUGUCGGCUUGAGAAUAUCUGAGAACCAUAUAAAACAAAAAAACAACUAUCAACAACGGAUCCCCUGGCUCUGGCAUCGAUGAAAAACGCACCAGAUAGGAAGCGCACACACCCGAACCACCGAUACCCAUAUCGAAU
RNAcentral lists this unclassified non-coding RNA (279 nucleotides) under plant metagenome. RNAcentral describes it as "partial contains small subunit ribosomal RNA, internal transcribed spacer 1, and 5.8S ribosomal RNA". The record is from RNAcentral.